RNAcentral lists this long non-coding RNA (257 nucleotides) under Phoenix dactylifera (date palm). RNAcentral's name for it is "long non-coding RNA (PDAC_LNC007434)". The record is from RNAcentral. Lineage: Eukaryota; Viridiplantae; Streptophyta; Magnoliopsida; Arecales; Arecaceae.
CUGUGCAUUAUAACAUGCUAAAACCCUUCAGUGGUAUCAGAGCCAUCCUUAAUUGGUUCAAUCAAAUAAUUAUGUAUGAUGUAUGAUUAUUAAUUUACUAUGAGAUAGUAAUGUCAUAUGCUUAGAGAAAUGCUGAAAUGUAUGAUUAAUAUAUGAUAUGUUAUGUAAUAAAAUAUCAUGAUAUGAAAUUUUUCAUAUGAAAAUAUGUUGAAGCAUGUUAAUUAAUUGCUUAUGAUUUAUACAUGCUAUGAGAUAGC